RNAcentral lists this ribosomal RNA (460 nucleotides) under uncultured bacterium. Its description in RNAcentral is "partial 16S ribosomal RNA". It matches the Rfam family "Bacterial small subunit ribosomal RNA", at positions 338 to 795 of the family's 1533-position model. The record is from RNAcentral.
CCUACGUGUGGCAGCAGUGAGGAAUAUUGGUCAAUGGGCGGAAUCCUGAACCAGCCAUGCCGCGUGCAGGACGACGGCUCUACGAGUUGUAAACUGCUUUUGUACAGGAGUAACAUGCUCUACGUGUAGGGUUUUGAAUGUACGGUACGCAUAAGGAUCGGCUAACUCCGUGCCAGCAGCCGCGGUAAUACGGAGGAUCCGAGCGUUAUCCGGGUUCAUUGGGUUUAAAGGGAGCGUAGGUGGGUUUAUACGUUAGCGGUGAAAUAUCGAUGCUCAACCUCGGGGUUGCAACUGAUACUGGAAGACUAGAGAACGGUUGAGGCAGGCGGAAUGUGUGGUGUAGCGGUGAAAUGCAUAGAUAUUACGCAGAACACCGAUUGCGAAGGCAGCUUACUAGGCCGGAACUGACACUGAUGCACGAAAGCGUGGGUAUCGAACAGGAUUAGAUACCCGAGUAGUC